RNAcentral lists this ribosomal RNA (1437 nucleotides) under uncultured organism. RNAcentral describes it as "16S ribosomal RNA". It matches the Rfam family "Bacterial small subunit ribosomal RNA". The record is from RNAcentral.
GGAUGAACGCUAGCUACAGGCUUAACACAUGCAAGUCGAGGGGCAGCAUGGUCUUAGCUUGCUAAGGCCGAUGGCGACCGGCGCACGGGUGAGUAACACGUAUCCAACCUGCCGUCUACUCUUGGACAGCCUUCUGAAAGGAAGAUUAAUACAAGAUGGCAUCAUGAGUCCACAUGUUCACAUGAUUAAAGGUAUUCCGGUAGACGAUGGGGAUGCGUUCCAUUAGAUAGUAGGCGGGGUAACGGCCCACCUAGUCUUCGAUGGAUAGGGGUUCUGAGAGGAAGGUCCCCCACAUUGGAACUGAGACACGGUCCAAACUCCUACGGGAGGCAGCAGUGAGGAAUAUUGGUCAAUGGGCGAGAGCCUGAACCAGCCAAGUAGCGUGAAGGAUGACUGCCCUAUGGGUUGUAAACUUCUUUUAUAAAGGAAUAAAGUCGGGUAUGCAUACCCGUUUGCAUGUACUUUAUGAAUAAGGAUCGGCUAACUCCGUGCCAGCAGCCGCGGUAAUACGGAGGAUCCGAGCGUUAUCCGGAUUUAUUGGGUUUAAAGGGAGCGUAGAUGGAUGUUUAAGUCAGUUGUGAAAGUUUGCGGCUCAACCGUAAAAUUGCAGUUGAUACUGGAUAUCUUGAGUGCAGUUGAGGCAGGCGGAAUUCGUGGUGUAGCGGUGAAAUGCUUAGAUAUCACGAAGAACUCCGAUUGCGAAGGCAGCCUGCUAAGCUGCAACUGACAUUGAGGCUCGAAAGUGUGGGUAUCAAACAGGAUUAGAUACCCUGGUAGUCCACACGGUAAACGAUGAAUACUCGCUGUUUGCGAUAUACAGCAAGCGGCCAGGCGAAAGCGUUAAGUAUUCCACCUGGGGAGUACGCCGGCAACGGUGAAACUCAAAGGAAUUGACGGGGGCCCGCACAAGCGGAGGAACAUGUGGUUUAAUUCGAUGAUACGCGAGGAACCUUACCCGGGCUUAAAUUGCAGAUGAAUUACGGUGAAAGCCGUAAGCCGCAAGGCAUCUGUGAAGGUGCUGCAUGGUUGUCGUCAGCUCGUGCCGUGAGGUGUCGGCUUAAGUGCCAUAACGAGCGCAACCCUUGUUGUCAGUUACUAACAGGUCAUGCUGAGGACUCUGACAAGACUGCCAUCGUAAGAUGUGAGGAAGGUGGGGAUGACGUCAAAUCAGCACGGCCCUUACGUCCGGGGCUACACACGUGUUACAAUGGGGGGUACAGAGGGCCGCUACCACGCGAGUGGAUGCCAAUCCCAAAAACCUCUCUCAGUUCGGACUGGAGUCUGCAACCCGACUCCACGAAGCUGGAUUCGCUAGUAAUCGCGCAUCAGCCACGGCGCGGUGAAUACGUUCCCGGGCCUUGUACACACCGCCCGUCAAGCCAUGGGAGCCGGGGGUACCUGAAGUGCGUAACCGCGAGGAGCGCCCUAGGGUAAAAC